RNAcentral lists this ribosomal RNA (773 nucleotides) under uncultured bacterium. Its description in RNAcentral is "bacterial SSU rRNA". It matches the Rfam family "Bacterial small subunit ribosomal RNA", at positions 14 to 831 of the family's 1533-position model. The record is from RNAcentral.
UGAUCCUGGCUCAGAGCGAACGCUGGCGGCAUGCUUAACACAUGUAAGUCGCACGGAUCUUUCGGGAUCAGUGGCGGACGGGUGAUUAACGCGUAGGGAUCUAUCCACGGGUGGGGGACAACUCCGGGAAACUGGAGCUAAUACCGCAUGAUACCUGAGGGUCAAAGGCGCAAGUCGCCUGUGGAGGAACCUGCGUUCGAUUAGCUAGUUGGUGGGGUAAAGGCCUACCAAGGCGAUGAUCGAUAGCUGGUUUGAGAGGAUGAUCAGCCACACUGGGACUGAGACACGGCCCAGACUCCUACGGGAGGCAGCAGUGGGGAAUAUUGGACAAUGGGCGAAAGCCUGAUCCAGCAAUGCCGCGUGUGUAAAGAAGGUCUUCGGAUUGUAAAGCACUUUCGACGGGGACGAUGAUGACGGUACCCGUAGAAGAAGCCCCGGCUAACUUCGUGCCAGCAGCCGCGGUAAUACGAAGGGGGCUAGCGUUGCUCGGAAUGACUGGGCGUAAAGGGCGCGUAGGCGGUUUAUGCAGUCAGAUGUGAAAUCCCCGGGCUUAACCUGGGAACUGCAUUUGAGACGCAUAGACUAGAGGUCGAGAGAGGGUUGUGGAAUUCCCAGUGUAGAGGUGAAAUUCGUAGAUAUUGGGAAGAACACCGGUGGCGAAGGCGGCAACCUGGCUCGAUACUGACGCUGAGGCGCGAAAGCGUGGGGAGCAAACAGGAUUAAAUACCCUGGUAGUCCACGCUGUAAACGAUGUGUGCUGGAUGUUGGGUAAC